RNAcentral lists this ribosomal RNA (560 nucleotides) under uncultured Glomus. RNAcentral describes it as "SSU rRNA". It matches the Rfam family "Eukaryotic small subunit ribosomal RNA", at positions 546 to 1106 of the family's 1831-position model. The record is from RNAcentral. Lineage: Eukaryota; Fungi; Glomeromycota; Glomeromycetes; Glomerales; Glomeraceae.
AAUUGGAGGGCAAGUCUGGUGCCAGCAGCCGCGGUAAUUCCAGCUCCAAUAGCGUAUAUUAAAGUUGUUGCAGUUAAAAAGCUCGUAGUUGAAUUUCGGGAUCAAUAUUUCGGUCAUGCCGUUGGUAUGCACUGUUAUCAUUGAUUUCUCACCUUCUAAAGAACCGUAAUGCCAUUAAUUUGGUGUUACGGGGAAUUAGGACUGUUACCUUGAAAAAAUUAGAGUGUUUAAAGCAGGCUCACGCUUGAAUACAUUAGCAUGGAAUAAUGAAAUAGGACAUCCGAUUCUAUUUUGUUGGUUUCUAGGAUCGAUGUAAUGAUUAAUAGGGAUAGUUGGGGGCAUUAGUAUUCAAUUGUCAGAGGUGAAAUUCUUGGAUUUAUUGAAGACUAACUACUGCGAAAGCAUUUGCCAAGGAUGUUUUCAUUAAUCAAGAACGAAAGUUAGGGGAUCGAAGACGAUCAGAUACCGUCGUAGUCUUAACCAUAAACUAUGCCGGCUAGGGAUCGGAUGAUGUUAAUUUUUUAAUGACUCAUUCGGCGCCUUACGGGAAACCAAAGUGU